Long non-coding RNA from Rhincodon typus (whale shark), 1069 nucleotides. RefSeq lists it as uncharacterized. The transcript is spliced from 3 exons. Lineage: Eukaryota; Metazoa; Chordata; Chondrichthyes; Orectolobiformes; Rhincodontidae. The record is from RefSeq and is a predicted model, not a curated record.
CCCGCCUUCUUGGCGUUUACUGGUGGUGUGAGGCUUUCACAUUUAAAAUGUACCGGUCGGUCUUUCAUUUCAGUUCCUUGAUACCACCCUCUUGUACUGCCUCUCCAUGCAGACAGGCAGACACAUGCAUGAUGGAGCCCGCACAGUACUGAUAAUCUCGGUGGCCUCAUCCAUCCUUCAGUCCAGGUUACUGACUGCUUCUGACAAACCUGCCUGCUGUUGCUGUGCCUAAGUAUUUUGACAAGGUCAUUAACAGCCGAGGCUAUGGGAUUACCUUCUGCUUGAGACUGAGCAGGUGUCGGGUUGUUUCUUCCUUGACCAAUUGUGAAGAUACCUGAGUAAUGUACUCAUCACAUUAGACUCAGAAGUACAAUCUAGAAAGAGAAUCCACCAAGGUGAAAAUCCCUCGGCUGGUGGAGAGUGCAGAUGAAAACCUUGCCAAUGCAUCCAUGACUGGCUUCUGCCUCAGAAGUGUAGGUUUACCUGAGAGUCUCCAACAUUCGUGUCUUAAUUGAGUUUUGCUGAAUCCUGCUUGUGAUUGCAGAGAAGAGAUAGAACUAAUAGUGUAAGACAGGUUGGACAGGCAAUAUGACAUGUGCAAUGCGACUCCACAAUCCACUGAAUUUGUCAAUAUCCAGGAUAUUAUAUUGCCCGGUCUGACUGGAGAUAGAAAAUUUUGUCACAAGAAAAUCAUAGACUCUUUCUUCCAGAAGACCAAAGUUUAAAUUUGGGUCUAAUUUUUCCUCAUCCACUAAAAUUGUGAUUAAGAGGGAUACAUCCUUGAAGGCUGCAUUUUCAUGAUCACAAUAUUUGUAGAAAAGAAGAGUAGAUGGGGGUGGCAGAUCUUGGAAGUGAUGAAUAACAGCUGAUUUUCCACCCGAACCAAACCAAGACAUUAGUUGAUUAUCUAGAUCUAGCUUCACUUCAUCACUGUUUAAAAACUUUUUACUCGAUCCUUCAAUUUCCAGAAACCUGGAAUUGAAAGCUGAAGCGUAAGCUCCAGCGAUUCUGCCUGUGAGGCAAUGCAUGGUUUCAUUUGCAUUCCAAGCAGCUGCAAACAUUAAAAUGG